RNAcentral lists this ribosomal RNA (492 nucleotides) under uncultured bacterium. RNAcentral's name for it is "partial 16S ribosomal RNA". It matches the Rfam family "Bacterial small subunit ribosomal RNA", at positions 29 to 507 of the family's 1533-position model. The record is from RNAcentral.
AGUGAGCGCUGGCGGUAGGCCUAACACAUGCAAGUCGAACGGCAGCACAGUAAGAGCUUGCUCUUACGGGUGGCGAGUGGCGGACGGGUGAGGAAUACAUCGGAAUCUUCUUUUUCGUGGGUGAUAACGUAGGGAAACUUACGCUAAUACCGCAUACGACCUACGGGUGAAAGCAGUGGAUCUUCGGACCUUGCGCGACUGAAUGAGACGAUGCCGGAUUAGCUAGUUGGCGGGGUAAAGGCCCACCAAGGCGACGAUCCGUAGCUGGUCUGAGAGGAUGAUCAGCCACACUGGAACUGAGACACGGUCCAGACUCCUACGGGAGGCAGCAGUGGGGAAUAUUGGACAAUGGGCGCAAGCCUGAUCCAGCCAUACCGCGUGGGUGAAGAAGGCCUUCGGGUUGUAAAGCCCUUUUGUUGGGAAAGAAAAGCAGCAGGUUAAUACCCCGCUGUUCUGACGGUACCCAAAGAAUAAGCACCGGCUAACUUCGUG